CGGGUGAGUAACGCGUGGAUAACCUGCCUUACACUGGGGGAUAACACUUAGAAAUAGGUGCUAAUACCGCAUAAGCGCACAGAGCCGCAUGGCUCAGUGUGAAAAACUCCGGUGGUGUAAGAUGGAUCCGCGUCUGAUUAGCUGGUUGGCGGGGUAGAAGCCCACCAAGGCGACAAUCAGUAGCCGGCCUGAGAGGGUGAACGGCCACAUUGGGACUGAGACACGGCCCAAACUCCUACGGAAGGCAGCAG
RNAcentral lists this ribosomal RNA (251 nucleotides) under uncultured bacterium. RNAcentral's name for it is "partial 16S ribosomal RNA". It matches the Rfam family "Bacterial small subunit ribosomal RNA", at positions 103 to 354 of the family's 1533-position model. The record is from RNAcentral.